CGAGAGCUGUACUUUGGGGUCUUGGAAGCAACCCCCCCACCCUCGGCAGGAGGAGCUGUUUCCUGAGAUGGCGAAGGGCGUGGAGCCCUGGGAGCCACGUUGCAGCGCUGCCGCUUUCCACGUGGCCUCUUCUCUUGGCAGCGCACGCACUGAAACUGGAAUGACAGAGGCAUGAGCAUGGCCCCUGUGCAAGGAUGACGUGCAAACGUGUGAGUCGGCGUUUCCAGAAGAGUGAUGUUCAGGGAGAUGCAAGCACUGGGGCCACGAAGUCUUCUCGUGGAAGCAUCCGACGCUCUGAAGACCCCUUCGGCCGGUUUUCUCCGGCGCAGAGGCCUCACUCCUGACCUCACCCCCACCUCCUUUUAGGGCCACACCCACAGCAUAUAAACAUGCCUGGGCUAGGGGCCGAAUCGGAGCUUUAGCUGUCUGCUGACACCACAGCCACAGCCACACAGGAUUCACGCCGAGUCUGUGACCUACAG
RNAcentral lists this long non-coding RNA (482 nucleotides) under Sus scrofa (pig). Its description in RNAcentral is "lncRNA (ENSSSCG00040074818.1, ENSSSCG00060016096.1)". The record is from RNAcentral. Lineage: Eukaryota; Metazoa; Chordata; Mammalia; Artiodactyla; Suidae.